This 120-nucleotide transfer RNA is filed under the name Xylanibacter ruminicola. Its description in RNAcentral is "Prevotella ruminicola tRNA_Leu_CAA". It matches the Rfam family "tRNA". From Rfam's summary of the family: Transfer RNA (tRNA) molecules are approximately 80 nucleotides in length. Their secondary structure includes four short double-helical elements and three loops (D, anti-codon, and T loops). Lineage: Bacteria; Pseudomonadati; Bacteroidota; Bacteroidia; Bacteroidales; Prevotellaceae. The record is from RNAcentral.
GCUGCGAUAGCUCAGUUGGUAGAGCAAUAGGUCUUGUGAUGACAUUUCCUGAGAAGGACCAAUCGCCACAUACUUCUAAAGUGGUACUAUGGGUCGCAGGUUCGAGCCCUGCUCGCAGCU